GGAAGAGUUGCGGGAAGGAAUUGUUUGUAAGUACCUGUUUUCUAAGCACUUGGGCGUAGACUUGAAAACUGGCGACGGGGGAACCUGUUCGUGAGUUCGAAUCUCACCGCUUUCC
RNAcentral lists this transfer RNA (115 nucleotides) under Massilia polaris. RNAcentral describes it as "tRNA-OTHER". Lineage: Bacteria; Pseudomonadati; Pseudomonadota; Betaproteobacteria; Burkholderiales; Oxalobacteraceae. The record is from RNAcentral.